GUGCACCACGCGUACACUCCGGUUUUGAGCGCGCCGUCCAAACCCGCCUGACGACGACGCGCUACGUUUUAUAAACC
This 77-nucleotide small RNA is filed under the name Xanthomonas dyei pv. eucalypti. RNAcentral describes it as "sX9 sRNA". It matches the Rfam family "Xanthomonas sRNA sX9". RNAcentral also lists the same sequence under 3 other names. The record is from RNAcentral. Lineage: Bacteria; Pseudomonadati; Pseudomonadota; Gammaproteobacteria; Lysobacterales; Lysobacteraceae.